GCUUGUCUCAAAGAUUAAGCCAUGCAUGUCUAAGUAUAAACGACUUUAUACUGUGAAACUGCGAAUGGCUCAUUAUAUCAGUUAUAGUUUAUUUGAUGGUCCUUGCUACUUGGAUAACCGUAGUAAUUCUAGAGCUAAUACAUGCACCCAUGCCCGACUUUGUGGAAGGGUUGUGUUUAUUAGUUACAGAACCAACCCAGGCUCUGCCUGGUCUUGUGGUGAUUCAUAAUAUCCGAACGAAUCGUAUGGCAUCAGCUGGCGAUGAAUCAUUCAAGUUUCUGACCUAUCAGCUUCCGACGGUAGGGUAUUGGCCUACCGUGGCAAUGACGGGUAACGGAGAAUUAGGGUUCGAUUCCGGAGAGGGAGCCUGAGAAACGGCUACCACAUCUAAGGAAGGCAGCAGG
RNAcentral lists this ribosomal RNA (404 nucleotides) under Azadinium dalianense. Its description in RNAcentral is "partial small subunit ribosomal RNA". It matches the Rfam family "Eukaryotic small subunit ribosomal RNA", at positions 30 to 432 of the family's 1831-position model. Lineage: Eukaryota; Dinophyceae; Gonyaulacales; Amphidomataceae. The record is from RNAcentral.